AAUCAACGCUGGCGGCGUGCCUCAGACAUGCAAGUCGAACGAUUAAGACUCUCUUCGGAGAGUGUAUAAAGUGGCGCACGGGUGAGUAACACGUAGGUAAUGUACCUUUGGGUGGGGAAUAACUUAGGGAAACUUAAACUAAUACCGCAUAAUGCAGCGGCUCCUUCGGGAGACAGUUGUUAAAGAUUUAUCGCCUAAAG
This 200-nucleotide ribosomal RNA is filed under the name uncultured bacterium. RNAcentral's name for it is "partial 16S ribosomal RNA". It matches the Rfam family "Bacterial small subunit ribosomal RNA", at positions 32 to 224 of the family's 1533-position model. The record is from RNAcentral.